Molecule: ribosomal RNA, 565 nt
Filed under: uncultured bacterium
Lineage: Bacteria
Description: partial 16S ribosomal RNA
Rfam family: Bacterial small subunit ribosomal RNA
Source: RNAcentral
GGAGGAAUAUUGGGCAAUGGACGAAAGUCUGACCCAGCAACGCCGCGUGAAGGAUGAAGGCCUUCGGGUCGUAAACUUCUUUUGAGGGAGACGAGAAAGGACGGUAUCCCUCGAAUAAGCCACGGCUAACUACGUGCCAGCAGCCGCGGUAAAACGUAGGUGGCGAGCGUUAUCCGGAUUCAUUGGGCGUAAAGAGCUUGUAGGUGGUGCGAUAAGUUGGACGUGAAAACUCCGGGCUUAACUUGGAGAGGCCGUUCAAUACUGUUGUGCUAGAGGGCGUCAGAGGGAAGUGGAAUUCCUGGUGUAGCAGUGAGAUGCGUAGAUAUCAGGAGGAACAUCCGUGGCGAAGGCGGCUUCCUGGGGCGCACCUGACACUGAGAAGCGAAAGCUAGGGGAGCAAAACGGGAUUAGAAAACCCCGGUAGUCCUAGCUGUAAAACGAUGGAUGCUAGGUGUGAGUGGAUCUAACCCCGCUCGUGCCGAAGCUAACGCGUUAAGCAUCCCGCCUGGGAACUACGAGCGCAAGCUUAAAACUUAAAUGAAUUGACGGGGUCAUAGCUGUUUCC